GGACGGGUGAGUAAUGUCUGGGGAACUGCCUGAUGGAGGGGGAUAACUACUGGAAACGGUAGCUAAUACCGCAUAACGUCGCAAGACCAAAGAGGGGGACCUUCGGGCCUCUUGCCAUCGGAUGUGCCCAGAUGGGAUUAGCUAGUAGGUGGGGUAAAGGCUCACCUAGGCGACGAUCCCUAGCUGGUCUGAGAGGAUGACCAGCCACACUGGAACUGAGACACGGUCCAG
This 231-nucleotide ribosomal RNA is filed under the name uncultured bacterium. Its description in RNAcentral is "partial 16S ribosomal RNA". It matches the Rfam family "Bacterial small subunit ribosomal RNA", at positions 100 to 334 of the family's 1533-position model. The record is from RNAcentral.